UACGAGUGCCUCAAGCGUUAUCCGGAAUCAUUGGGCGUAAAGCGUGCGUAGCCGGUUAUUUAAGUCGGGUGUGAAAGCCCCGGGCUCAACCUGGGAAUUGCAUUCGAGACUGAAUAGCUAGGGUGCGGAAGAGGGAAGCGGAAUUUCCGGUGUAGCGGUGAAAUGCGUAGAUAUCGGAAGGAACACCAGUGGCGAAAGCGGCUUCCUGGUCCAGCACCGACGUUCAGGCACGAAAGCGUGGGGAGCAAACAGG
This 253-nucleotide ribosomal RNA is filed under the name uncultured bacterium. Its description in RNAcentral is "partial 16S ribosomal RNA". It matches the Rfam family "Bacterial small subunit ribosomal RNA", at positions 524 to 776 of the family's 1533-position model. The record is from RNAcentral.